RNAcentral lists this ribosomal RNA (468 nucleotides) under uncultured bacterium. RNAcentral describes it as "partial 16S ribosomal RNA". It matches the Rfam family "Bacterial small subunit ribosomal RNA", at positions 28 to 507 of the family's 1533-position model. The record is from RNAcentral.
GACGAACGCUGGCGGCGUGCUUAACACAUGCAAGUCGAACGGAAAGGCCCUGCUUUUGUGGGGUGCUCGAGUGGCGAACGGGUGAGUAACACGUGAGUAACCUGCCCUUGACUUUGGGAUAACUUCAGGAAACUGGGGCUAAUACCGGAUAGGAGCUCCUGCUGCAUGGUGGGGGUUGGAAAGUUUCGGCGGUUGGGGAUGGACUUGCGGCUUAUCAGCUUGUUGGUGGGGUAGUGGCUUACCAAGGCUUUGACGGGUAGCCGGCCUGAGAGGGUGACCGGCCACAUUGGGACUGAGAUACGGCCCAGACUCCUACGGGAGGCAGCAGUGGGGAAUACUGCACAAUGGGCGGAAGCCUGAUGCAGCAACGCCGCGUGCGGGAUGACGGCCUUCGGGUUGUAAACCGCUUUCGCCUGUGACGAAGCGUGAGUGACGGUAAUGGGUAAAGAAGCACCGGCUAACUACGUG